CCUACGGUGGCAGCAGUGGGGAAUAUUGGACAAUGGGCGAAAGCCUGAUCCAGCCAUGCCGCGUGUGUGAAGAAGGCCUUCGGGUUGUAAAGCACUUUCAGUGGGGAAGAAAGCCUUGGGGCUAAUACCCUCGAGGAAGGACAUCACCCACAGAAGAAGCACCGGCUAACUCCGUGCCAGCAGCCGCGGUAAUACGGAGGGUGCGAGCGUUAAUCGGAAUUACUGGGCGUAAAGCGCGCGUAGGCGGUCUGAUAAGCCGGUUGUGAAAGCCCCGGGCGCAACCUGGGAACGGCAUCCGGAACUGUCAGGCUAGAGUGCAGGAGAGGAAGGUAGAAUUCCCGGUGUAGCGGUGAAAUGCGUAGAGAUCGGGAGGAAUACCAGUGGCGAAGGCGGCCUUCUGGACUGACACUGACGCUGAGGUGCGAAAGCGUGGGUAGCAAACAGGAUUAGAUACCCUGGUAGUC
This 464-nucleotide ribosomal RNA is filed under the name Vreelandella stevensii. Its description in RNAcentral is "partial 16S ribosomal RNA". It matches the Rfam family "Bacterial small subunit ribosomal RNA", at positions 338 to 795 of the family's 1533-position model. The record is from RNAcentral. Lineage: Bacteria; Pseudomonadati; Pseudomonadota; Gammaproteobacteria; Oceanospirillales; Halomonadaceae.